Molecule: non-coding RNA, 95 nt
Organism: Mycena latifolia
Lineage: Eukaryota; Fungi; Basidiomycota; Agaricomycetes; Agaricales; Mycenaceae
Source: the annotation of a GenBank genome assembly
GCAUCGAUGGGGUAACGGAAACCCACAGGCUAGUAUUCGUCCCCCAGAUCCACGUUGUUAUAGCUGAGCUCGGGGUUCGACUCCCUAUCGAUGCA